Molecule: long non-coding RNA, 3204 nt
Filed under: Salvia miltiorrhiza (redroot sage)
Lineage: Eukaryota; Viridiplantae; Streptophyta; Magnoliopsida; Lamiales; Lamiaceae
Description: long non-coding RNA (SMIL_LNC005543)
Source: RNAcentral
GUUGGGUAUCUUCGCCUAGCCGGAGGUUCACCGCUUGGUUCCCGACCGUCCUGCCGCCUUCACACGUUGCUCAAGCAACAACAAAUCUCUACACUCCGUGCUUCUUCCUUUUCCUUCUUCUUACACCUAAACCUGCAAAAUCAGAGGAAGUGCAAGUGAAAAAGAAAAAGAACAGAAAACAACAGGAAGAAGUAAAGAAAGACAGAGGUGGGAAAAAGGUGUCUCAGGGACACAGGUGGCUCAGAUUUUUCCCACGGUAGGCUCGGCUCUUCCGGCAGCUUAAAUGAUCAAGGCUCAGGGAAACAUGGAGAACUAAUCGGCACUCAAGUCUCGCUUUGCACAGCCACCAAAAUCCACAGUGUAUCACCAAACAGGAAUCCAAUUAUCAGGAAUCCGGCGAUACACGCAAUCAAUCGGAGCGAGGUUCACACACACAGUCACCAAUCAGGAAACCACGAACAGGAAUCCGGCGACACUUCAGGAAGGAAUAGCAGAGCCUUCCGGUCAAACAGUGUGUAAAACUAACUACAAUGAAAGCAAUGCAGCGGGGAUAAAAAGAGGUCGAGCAAAAGGCAGGUGGGAAAACGAGGAGACGGGGCGGUGGAAGGGCGGUGGAGAGGGGGAAGACAACGAGACGGGAGGCGGAAAUAAGGCGGAGGGGAGAGAGAGUCAGCGGCGCACGGGAGUGAUGAAAUGGGGGGGGCUGAUUUGGACUUAGGGUAUAAAGGGGAUGGGCUUGGGCUUGGGUUUGGGCUUGGGGGGGGUUAAUGAGAAUUGGGCCAACACUCCACAUUCCACCUUUGGCACAAUGAUCAUUAAGUCACCAGGGAAGAGCCAGCCUUUGAAUCGAGCUUUAUCAUCACAGCCAUUUUUACUAUCAUCCUAUCACAAAGACAAGACAAUAGAGGGUGAGAAAAAUAUUAUGCAUAUUUAACUCAAUCUCAACAACAGAGACCAACCCAAGGGAAAUCACCAUUUCUCAAACCCAAAGGGUUAUCAUUGAAGACACAACAGACACACACACACAUGCACUCAAGCAACAUCACACAAGACACACAGAGCAGACAACAAAAGACAAAGCAAAACCAGACCAUCACACACAAACAUAAACAGAAAACAAACACAGGAUAGCAGCAGGCAAACAGACCAGAACACAACAGGCAACUCAAAGACAACACUCAUCAUGCAAAAAGAAAAAACAAAGACAAAGAAGAGACAAGCAGCCUUAGAGGUUUGCACCCAAAAAGGGUAGGGGAUCCACCUCAAACGAAACAGUGGGUGUAGACACAAGCUCAUACUUGCUUUGAUCAACAACAUUCACAUUCUCCACCUCACUUGGAGCAGCAGAUUGUGAGGGUUCAAGCAAGCACGGGACUGACUCAGCACAUACAGCAUUGGAGUAGUUUAAGAACUGAAAAUCAUGAUCAUGCACCAUAUAGACUCCAUCUUCUUCAAACACAUUGUUAGCACGCUGUUCAGGUUCAAAGCUCUUGUUUUUCUUAGGCAGUCUACACUUAUUUGACAAAUGACCAGGCUUUCCACAAUUCCAACAAAGCUUUUUAGGCUUUUGAUCAAACCCCUUUUUAUCUUUGUUAACAACAUGACCUCACCAUGCAGAUGCUUUGACUUAGCAGCAAUUGUCUUAUGUUACGACUUAGCUCAUUAUAGUUCAGUUUACAACUGCUCAUGUAUUAGCAGCUUUAAGUCAUGAAGCAGUUUAUUGAAAAUUUCCAUAUUAGUGUCAACAUCUUUAGAAGAAUCCAUUUGGAAAGACAUAAACUGAUUUUGCAAAGACCAAGUAGAUACUUCAGAGGGUGCAGCAUAAAUGGAGUUUAGUUCAUCCCACAGUUCUUUAGCACAUGCAUAGUGUGACACUUUCCUUACAACAGAACUGCUUAAAUUCAACAGAAUUGUUGCCCUAGCAUUAUCAUUCAUGUCAUGCAAUUUUUCAUCAGUGACAGUUUUAUCAAUUUUAGUUAAUAAAGCCUUAUUAACCUUCUCCUUAACAAGAAUGCAUUCUAUUUUGGUUUUCCAGUCCUGAAAAUCAUCCCUGCCAUUGAAUGGCACCAAAAGCAUAUUGUUCAUGAUGAAUGCAGAUGCAGCACUUAAGCAACCACAAUUUUUCACAGAAAACCACAACAAUCACAGAGUAACAGGUCAGUCAGACCACAGAGCAAAGCAGAAACACCAGAGAGAGCAAAACAACAGCGGAAACAAUAAGGAACCAAAGCACACACAGCCUGUCUAGAUAGCCCCCUUUCUCCCUUGAUUUCCAGGGUACUCGCACGAGGAGACUCCUUUAAAGGAGAAUCCAGACGAACUGGACCAAAUGCAAGGGAGAACCUCACUUGGCUUUGAAUGCCAGGGGUUUAUCGAGAUAUAAGGCAACAAGCGGAAGCACACAAAGGUCAGGAUCGCAAGAUACCAAGACAAACAAAAACAUGACAAAAAAAAAAACAGCAGGCAACACCAAUCCUAAUGACUAGGAGUUUUAGGGUCUUAAGCCAAUUUACCAGAGCCGACUUCCCAGGUAGGGGAAGAGUCGGUCUUACCAAAACCUUGCUCGUCGGGAGCGAGUCGGCGCAGCCAAAGGGCGGCGGGGUGAGAGGGAUGUGUUCGGGGGGAGCCCCGGCAAGGUCCCCGUGGCUCUGAUACCACUGUUGGGUAUCUUCGCCUUUCCGGGAUUACUCCUCUUGUUUCCCGAACCUCCGGUCCGUCUCACUCGACACUCUAGUGCCAAACUUCUCUUCACGUUUCUUCCUCUUCACCUUUAGUUUCUUCUUCUACCUGCUAGUACCUGCAAAUCAACAGAAACACAGCAAGUUAAACUGUUCAAAGAAAGAAAACUAAAGAAGACAGAAAAGUAAGAAAGAGCAGAAAAGAUUGAAGUGGGAAAAUGUGUCCUCGGGACACUUUGGCUCAGAUUUUCCCACGGUAGGCUCGGCUCUUCCGGCAGCGUUAAUGAUCACGGCUCAAGGGAACAUGGAGAACUAAUCGGCACUCAAGUCUCGCUUUGCACAGCCACCAAAAUCCACAGUGUAUCACCAAACAGGAAUCCAACGAACAGGAAUCCGGCGACACACGCAAUCAAUCGGAGCGAGGUUCACACACACAGUCACCAAUCAGGAAACCACGAACAGGAAUCCGACGACACUUCAGGAAGGAAUAGCAGAGCCUUCCGGUCAAACAGUGUGUGAAACUACC